This 779-nucleotide non-coding RNA is filed under the name Ascaloptynx appendiculata. Lineage: Eukaryota; Metazoa; Arthropoda; Insecta; Neuroptera; Myrmeleontidae. The record is from RNAcentral.
GGAAGUUUUAUUUUGGCUUUUUAUUUUGUUAUUAUUAUGUUUUACAUGUAAAUUUUUGUGUGUUUAAUUUUAUUUUUUAAUAAAAUAAGAUUGUAUUUUAUUCGCAGUAUUUUAUAUUAAAUAUAAAGGUAGCUUUGAUUUGGUAAUAAUUAUUAUUAUAGGAUAAAUUUGUGCCAGCAUCUGCGGUUAUACAAAUUAUAAAAAUAAAAUUUAUUGGUUAGUAGUUAUUUUAUUAGUUUUAAAUUUUAUUAAUAAAAUAUUUAGGUGAAAUUAAUUUUUUAUAGUAAAGAUUUAUAUUUUAUAAGAAGCUACAAAAUUUUUUUAAAAGACUAGGAUUAGAUACCCUAUUAUUUAAAGUGUAAAUAUGAACCAGGGUAGUAUUAGAUAAGAUCUUCAAACCUAAAAAAUUUGGCGGUGCUUUAGUCUAUUUAGAGGAACCUGUUCCUUAAUCGAUAGCCCACGAUUUAUUUUACCUUUUUUUGUUUAGUUUAUAUACCGUCGUUAUCAGAAUAUUUUAUAAGGAUAUAAUUUUCUUUUAUUUAAAUUAAAAUUUAUUUCAGAUCAAGGUGUAGCUUAUAAUAAGGAGGAAAUGGGUUACAAUAAAUUUAUUUAAACGGAUUUUAAACUAAAAUGUUUUUAUUGAAGGUGGAUUUAAUAGUAAAUUUAAUUAACUUGUUAUUUUGAUUUUAGCUCUAAAGCAUGUACACAUCGCCCGUCGCUCUUUUUAAUUAAAGAUAAGUCGUAACAAAGUAGAUGUACUGGAAAGUGUAUCUAGAAUG